GACGAACGCUGGCGGCGUGCUUAACACAUGCCAGUCGUACGGUAAGGCCCUUUCGGGGGUCCACGAGUGGCGAACGGGUGAGUAACACGUGAGUAACCUGCCCACAACUUUGGGAUAACGCUAGGAAACUGGUGCUAAUACUGGAUAUGUGCUCCUGCUGCAUGGUGGGGGUUGGAAAGCUCCGGCGGUUGUGGAUGGACUCGCGGUCUAUCAGCUUGUUGGUGGGGUAGUGGCCUACCAAGGCGGCGACGGGUAGCCGGCCUGAGAGGGUGACCGGCCACAUUGGGACUGAGAUACGGCCCAGACUCCUACGGGAGGCAGCAGUGGGGAAUAUUGCACAAUGGGCGCAAGCCUGAUGCAGCAACGCCGCGUGCGGGAUGACGGCCUUCGGGUUGUAAACCGCUUUCAGCAGGGACGAAGCUUUUUGUGACGGUACCUGCAGAAGAAGCACCGGCUAACUACGUG
RNAcentral lists this ribosomal RNA (465 nucleotides) under uncultured bacterium. Its description in RNAcentral is "partial 16S ribosomal RNA". It matches the Rfam family "Bacterial small subunit ribosomal RNA", at positions 28 to 507 of the family's 1533-position model. The record is from RNAcentral.